Non-coding RNA from Gossypium raimondii (Peruvian cotton), 139 nucleotides. The record is from Rfam. Lineage: Eukaryota; Viridiplantae; Streptophyta; Magnoliopsida; Malvales; Malvaceae.
UGUAAAAUUUCAUCUAUUUUUGUUGUUAAAAACUAGACUAACAGAAUGACCAAAUAGUUACAUGUAAUGUGCCAUGUAUACCUCAUUUUGAUGUACAAGGCUCAGUUUUUAACAGUACAAGUGGACGGAAUUUUUAACA